RNAcentral lists this long non-coding RNA (305 nucleotides) under Helianthus annuus (common sunflower). Its description in RNAcentral is "sRNA HanXRQr2_Chr04g0158411". Lineage: Eukaryota; Viridiplantae; Streptophyta; Magnoliopsida; Asterales; Asteraceae. The record is from RNAcentral.
UUACAUAACUACUGCCACCACUAAGGGUGUGAAUGGAGUCACCUAAGGGGGUCACCGAGGGUGCCCCGGACACCCUAAGCCACUAACCUAAACAUGGGAAUAAAAAGAAACUGGGAAUAAAAAGAAACUGCAUGAACGUGGAGUAUGGGCAUGCCCUGUACUCCUUUAAUUAACACAUCACAUUAAAACAAACAAAUCCUAAAUCCUAAAUACGUGAAGUUACGUGGCUUGGAUUGCAAGGUGACAUGGGGCACACAUCAGACCUCCGGUCAUUAAACAGACUUCCAACCACUGGACUACAUUGA